GACAAACCCCAUAGAGGUGGCAAGCUCGAUCAUGUCAGAUCUCAGAAGCUAAGCAGGCUAGAGCCUGAUUAUUCCUUGGAUAGACGACCAUGUGAAAAACAGGUGCUGUAGGCU
This 114-nucleotide ribosomal RNA is filed under the name Petromyzon marinus (sea lamprey). Lineage: Eukaryota; Metazoa; Chordata; Hyperoartia; Petromyzontiformes; Petromyzontidae. The record is from RNAcentral.